AAGAUUAUUUUUAAAUAUG
Molecule: microRNA, 19 nt
Filed under: Corchorus capsularis
Lineage: Eukaryota; Viridiplantae; Streptophyta; Magnoliopsida; Malvales; Malvaceae
Description: sRNA CCACVL1_15095
Source: RNAcentral